RNAcentral lists this unclassified non-coding RNA (584 nucleotides) under Huberia peruviana. RNAcentral's name for it is "partial external transcribed spacer". Lineage: Eukaryota; Viridiplantae; Streptophyta; Magnoliopsida; Myrtales; Melastomataceae. The record is from RNAcentral.
GCAGGCUUGUUNUGGGUUGCAUUUCGGUCGCCCGGUGGCUUCUCCUUGUGAGGUGUUGCCGGGCGAUCUUUGUUUCCCUUCUUGCGAUGGGACGACGCAUGAGUGGCUUCCGGGAUAUGUUCCCCGUGCAGGCUCCGUGUUCAUGGCAUCGAACUGCUCGGGUCUAUCCGUCUCAUUUGUGAGUUCGCCUCGGCGCGUCUUGGGUCGGUUGCGGCUACUCGUCGGGUUGCUGUGCUAGAUACUCGAUUCCGUAGUUGGAUGGAUCGUUUCGCCCCGUGUUGGUUCGUUGGUUCUCCUCUGCCUCUCGAGGCGGUGGUGGAUAUCGUGCGGGCAUCGACGUUGUCCUCCCGGGCAGCUGCCUCCCUUCGGGAGCCAGUGCUCGUGGUGGCGCGUCGAUGCUGCCGGCACUCUCGGGUACGGAGAUUUGAUGGAUAACGCGUAGGCCUUCGUCGGCCUUCGUGUUCGUAACGUUUCGAAGCACCGUCGCUUCUCCUCGCACGACCCUCGUGCUCCUCCGAGAGCUCACGGAGCCUCUUCGUUCGGUGUUCUUCUCGGUUGAGCCGUCGAGGUCCUCGAAGGAAUGC